Molecule: ribosomal RNA, 466 nt
Filed under: uncultured bacterium
Lineage: Bacteria
Description: partial 16S ribosomal RNA
Rfam family: Bacterial small subunit ribosomal RNA
Source: RNAcentral
GAUGAACGCUGGCGGCGUGCUUAACACAUGCAAGUCGAACGAUGAAGCCCAGCUUGCUGGGUGGAUUAGUGGCGAACGGGUGAGUAACACGUGAGUAACCUGCCCUUGACUCUGGGAUAAGCCCGGGAAACUGGGUCUAAUACCGGAUAGGAGCGCCUGUCGCAUGACGGGUGUUGGAAAGAUUUUUCGGUCAUGGAUGGACUCGCGGCCUAUCAGCUUGUUGGUGAGGUAAUGGCUCACCAAGGCGACGACGGGUAGCCGGCCUGAGAGGGUGACCGGCCACACUGGGACUGAGACACGGCCCAGACUCCUACGGGAGGUAGCAGUGGGGAAUAUUGCACAAUGGGCGGAAGCCUGAUGCAGCGACGCCGCGUGAGGGAUGACGGCCUUCGGGUUGUAAACCUCUUUCAGUAGGGAAGAAGCGAAAGUGACGGUACCUGCAGAAGAAGCACCGGCUAACUACGUG